UGUUGCUGAUGCUACAGAUGCUGCGAGAAGUGCAUCUGACAUUGUUUUAACUGAACCUGGAUUGAGUGUUAUUAUCAGUGCCGUGCUGACUAGCAGAGCUAUUUUCCAAAGGAUGAAGAACUAUACUAUCUAUGCAGUUUCCAUCACAAUCCGAAUUGUGUUUGGUUUCAUGCUUAUUGCUCUGAUAUGGAAGUUUGACUUCUCUCCUUUCAUGGUUUUGAUUAUUGCUAUCCUAAAUGAUGGAACAAUUAUGACAAUCUCAAAGGAUAGAGUGAAGCCAUCACCCUUGCCUGAUAGCUGGAAACUCAAAGAAAUAUUUGCCACUGGAAUUGUGCUUGGUGGUUACUUGGCUCUGAUGACUGUUAUAUUCUUCUGGGCUAUGCAUAAAACUGACUUCUUUUCAGUAAGAAAUGCAAUAUUUUGCUUUGCAAGCUUACAGUUUAAUGAAUUAUUCAAAAUUUUGGUUUGAUUGUUAUCCAAAUUGUAACAGAGUUUUUCACAAAUGCAGGACAAAUUUGGUGUAAGAUCUAUAAGAAAUAGUGAACAUGAAAUGAUGGGUGCUUUGUACCUUCAAGUCAGUAUUGUAAGCCAGGCUCUCAUUUUCGUGACUCGUUCUCGCAGCUGGUCUUAUGUUGAACGCCCUGGUCUGCUACUAAUGACUGCAUUCAUAAUUGCACAGCUAGUAUGAAAUUUCUGCUCUGCAUAUCUUUCUAAGCUCUAUUUUGUUAUCAUCACUGAUUUCUCACUUGAAUUGAUGAAGAGGCUAAAAGCUUCUUCUUUAUCCUCUAAGAAGCUAAAUCCACUCUGGUUUUCAGGUUGCAACUUUGAUCGCCGUAUACGCCAACUGGGGCUUCGCAAGGAUCAAAGGAAUUGGCUGGGGAUGGGCUGGAGUUAUCUGGAUUUACAGUGUUGUUUUCUAUGUCCCACUUGACUUCUUGAAGUUUGCCAUUCGUUACAUCUUGAGUGGAAAGGCUUGGAUGAACUUGCUAGAGAACAAAACUGCAUUCACCACCAAGAAAGAUUAUGGUAAAGAGGAGAGAGAAGCUCAAUGGGCUCUUGCUCAAAGGACCUUGCACGGACUUCAACCACCAGAAACUGCCAGUAUCUUCAAUGAAAAGAACAGCUAUAGAGAGUUGUCUGAGAUUGCUGAACAGGCCAAGAGACGAGCAGAGGUUGCAAGGCUUCGGGAGCUUCACACGCUGAAAGGACAUGUCGAGUCAGUGGUGAAGCUCAAGGGUUUGGACAUUGAUACCAUCCAGCAGCAUUAUACAGUCUAAAAAGACAGCCUGCAAUAACAUUUGCUUGACAAGGAAAAGGCUACAGUUCAAUGAUGAACCCAAAUCAAGAAAGCAGAGAAGGAUAUAUAGUUAAUGCCUUCUAGAAAGAGAAGAAAUGUCUAUGCCAUAGUUUUCCUAAUCUAUUUUCGUUUUCUCUUUCUUUUAUUUUUCAACUGCUGAAAGAAAGGAUUGUGUUUACCAACUUCUUGCUCUGUGAAGAGCAAAUGUCAUCUUGUUACUCAGUUUUCAAGUUGUAAUUCUACUUUUCUUCCGCCUAAUUUCUCGCUUGGCUACUGUUCCUAUCCAUGAUGUCUGAUUUUCACUCUUUGUUACCUUUAAUUGCUUUAACCAAUGUGUUCUUGUCUCAACUUGGC
This 1651-nucleotide unclassified non-coding RNA is filed under the name Hevea brasiliensis (rubber tree). The record is from RNAcentral. Lineage: Eukaryota; Viridiplantae; Streptophyta; Magnoliopsida; Malpighiales; Euphorbiaceae.